Molecule: long non-coding RNA, 1753 nt
Organism: Schistocerca nitens (vagrant locust)
Lineage: Eukaryota; Metazoa; Arthropoda; Insecta; Orthoptera; Acrididae
Exons: 3
Source: RefSeq, a predicted model, not a curated record
AUUGACUCUUUGCUCCUCUCGCGGUCAUGUCAAAGGUUCUAGCAAAAAGAGUGAGUAGGAGUAGGAGUACUGAGUAAGUGAGUAAACAGCGGAGUAGAAAGUGGUGAAUGAAGUGACACCAGGUGUCACGUGGGCGGCCAGGCUGUCAAGACUGCCAACCACGUCCUACAGGCUUGCUACAGAAUGCACGGGUCCCGAGUCAUAUCGUGCGGUAUGUCGCUCAUGGGCUCGUGCAAAGGGGCUUCAACGUCUCUGUGGAGCCCCACCUUCGAACGCCAGAAGGACUACGCAAGCCUGACGCGGUGGCGGUAAAAGAUGGCAUCGCCCGUGUGAUGGACGCCCAGAUAGUCGGCAACCAUCUCUGGCUCGACUGGUGUCACACACUGAAGAUGACCUACUAUGACACGCCGUCCAUCUGGCAUGCAGUCUCCAACCUGCAACGAGACAUCCAGGAGGGACCUCAUCAACCUGGGGUUCCGACCCCGAGAGCUGGUGGUUCUAAGUGCCCAAGUUCUGCAGAGCUGCUGAAUCACCUACUGGAUUUUCGAGUACAUGACGGCGAAUAGGCUGAUGCCACGUGUUGGCGUUGGAUAGUGCACUGGUUAUCUCUUUAUUUCCUGACUCCUGGGGACUAUCACAGGAGGAAUAACGUCUUUGUUCCUCUGUGUACCAUACAUCGUCCACCCCUUAGUGCAAUGGGUCCAGGAAAAAUUUCCCUUGCUCACUCUUGAUGGAGCCACUGUGAUGUUUACAUGGGUCCCUGGUCACUUCGGUCUAACAGGAAAUGAGGCUGCUGGUGCUGCUGCCAAAGCUGCAAUCCUCGUACCUCAGACCACUAGGUCUUCCAUUUCCUCUGAUGAUAUCUGUGUUGCUGCCUGUCAGCAGGUGGUGUCACUUUGGCAUCAUCACUGGUCUUUUCUUCAUGGAAACAAGCUCCGGGGAAUUAGACCUCUCCUAGUGGCUUGGACAAUCUCCUCUCAGCCCUCUCGCUAUGAGAUCAUUUUAGCUAGCUUGCAUAUUCUGCACUGUCUUUUUAGCCAUCACCAUUUGUUAAGUGGUGAACUUUCAGCCCUUUGUGCUCAUUACCUUUGACGAUUCCUCAUUUCCUGGCUGAAUACACUUUUUUAACCACUUACGUUUCAUUUAUGUUUGCUGUCUGAGUUAUCAGCUGGUUUAACGAAUGACGUGGGCUGUCAAUCACAUUUUACUUUUUAUUCGUUGUAGCAAUAUGCCGAAGGACAUUUAAUCUUUAGUUCAGGACCUCUGUUGUCUCUAUAGCAUAUUUUGUGGACCAUUCUUCAAGUCCCUGUGUUUAGCUGUCUUUCCUUUCACUGAUUGUGACACUUACGACCCUAGUUGUUUUUUGCCUCCUAAAACAAAACAAUGCAGAAGUGUGCUGCCCAGUGACAAAAGAAAUAUUGCUGAAGUGAGAUAAAAAGACAAAACCUGUUUAUUAAUGGAAGACCAGGUGUAAUAUAGUGGAAAGUCAAGCCACUUAGGCCAGAGGUCUAUAAAUUCUGUCUUCUGACCACAGCCAUACCAUUCAGAACACCCUUUUUUAUACCAAAACCCAGUUUUAUUAAUUUUUCUGACUUACAUAAUGCAUGCCAGCUGUAAGUGUUUGUUGUGUACAUAUUGCAGACACAAAAAAUUAUUACAAGAAACAUACAACAAAGUGCACUGUAAAGUAUGAUGUAUGAUUACGCGCAUGAAAAUACAGGUCUAAGAGAGAAGAUGAAACAUAUAGAUUUGU